Molecule: ribosomal RNA, 297 nt
Filed under: uncultured bacterium
Lineage: Bacteria
Description: partial 16S ribosomal RNA
Rfam family: Bacterial small subunit ribosomal RNA
Source: RNAcentral
CUACGUGCCAGCAGCCCGCGGUAAUACGUAGGUCCCGAGCGUUAUCCGGAAUUAUUGGGCGUAAAGGGCACGUAGGCGGACAAAUAAGUUUGAUGUCAAAUAUGAUGGCUCAACCAUCAAGAGGCGUUGAAAACUGUUUAUCUAGAAUCUCGGAGAGGUAAGUGGAAUUCCAUGUGUAGCGGUGGAAUGCGUAGAUAUAUGGAGGAACACCAAUGGCGAAGGCAGCUUACUGGACGAAGAUUGACGCUGGUACGGUGCGAAAGCGUGGUAGCCAAACAGGAUUAGAUACCCUGGUAG